Molecule: long non-coding RNA, 324 nt
Organism: Mauremys reevesii (Reeves's turtle)
Lineage: Eukaryota; Metazoa; Chordata; Testudines; Geoemydidae
Exons: 3
Source: RefSeq, a predicted model, not a curated record
UUGAUCCCCUGUCGGAGCCUUGCAGGAGCUUGGAGCCCAGCUGGCAUUUCCCCACAUUGUCUCCUCAGGAGCUGAUUGAUCACGAGUCCGUCGACUCCCUGACCGGCGUGAUGCGUCAGCAAGCUAUGCUCGCCAUCAUGAAGCUGAGCAAAAUGAAGCUACCGGUGCGGAUCCUGACACAACCCAGCCUGCUCGCCACCUGCUUCUCCAGCAUCUUCUCCCUGCCUCCAGCACACACCAUGGAGGAGGUGGAGGCUGCUCUCUACACCAAAACUUUGAAAACCAUGGAUGAGAUGCUGAAGGCCUUGGUGUGCGAGGAUCAGA